GACGAACCGUGCGAACGUUGUUCGGAAUCACUGGGCUUAAAGGGCGCGUAGGCGGAGGGUGUAGUCGGUGGUGAAAUCCUCCAGCUUAACUGGAGAAUGGCCUCCGAUACUGACUCUCUCGAGGGAGGUAGGGGCAUGUGGAACUCAGGGUGGAGCGGUGAAAUGCGUAGAUAUCCUGAGGAACGCCGGUGGCGAAAGCGACGUGCUGGACCUCUUCUGACGCUGAGGCGCGAAAGCCAGGGGAGCAAACGGG
RNAcentral lists this ribosomal RNA (253 nucleotides) under uncultured bacterium. Its description in RNAcentral is "partial 16S ribosomal RNA". It matches the Rfam family "Bacterial small subunit ribosomal RNA", at positions 524 to 776 of the family's 1533-position model. The record is from RNAcentral. RNAcentral also lists the same sequence under 1 other name.